Molecule: small RNA, 125 nt
Filed under: Marmota monax (woodchuck)
Lineage: Eukaryota; Metazoa; Chordata; Mammalia; Rodentia; Sciuridae
Source: RNAcentral
GCUGGGCGGGGUGGCUCAUGCCUGUAAUCCCAGUGGCUCAGGAGGCUGAGGCAGAAGGAUCACAAGUUCAAAGCAAGCGUCAGAAAUGGCGAGGUGCUAAGCAACUUAGUGAGACCCUGUCUCUA